UGGGGAAUAUUGGACAAUGGGCGAAAGCCUGAUCCAGCCAUGCCGCGUGUGUGAAGAAGGUCUUCGGAUUGUAAAGCACUUUCAGUUGGGAUGAAGGGCAGUAAGCGAAUAUCUUGCUGUUUUGACGUUACCGUCAGAAUAAGCACCGGUUAACUCUGUUCCAGCAGCCGCGGUAAUACAGAGGUUGCAAGUGUUAAUCGGAAUUACUGGGCGUAAAGCGCGCGUAGGUGGUUCGUUAAGUUGAAUGUGAAAGCCCCGGGCUCAACCUGGGAACGGCAUCCAAAACGGGCGAGCUAGAGGAGGGCAGAGGGUGGUGGGAUUUCCUGUGUAGCCGUGAAAUGCGUAGAAAUAGGAAGGAACAACAGUGGCGAAGGCGACCACCUGGGCUCAUACUGACACUGAGGUGCGAAAGCGUGGGGAGCAAACAGG
This 429-nucleotide ribosomal RNA is filed under the name Pseudomonadota bacterium. Its description in RNAcentral is "Proteobacteria bacterium partial 16S ribosomal RNA". It matches the Rfam family "Bacterial small subunit ribosomal RNA", at positions 355 to 776 of the family's 1533-position model. The record is from RNAcentral. Lineage: Bacteria; Pseudomonadati; Pseudomonadota.